Molecule: long non-coding RNA, 1551 nt
Filed under: Triticum aestivum (bread wheat)
Lineage: Eukaryota; Viridiplantae; Streptophyta; Magnoliopsida; Poales; Poaceae
Description: long non-coding RNA (TAES_LNC009603)
Rfam family: MIR1120/MIR1122 microRNA precursor family (bases 621-741)
Source: RNAcentral
AGAUCAGCACUCCAGUUGCAACCAUUCAGACAGUAGUAGAGUCCAUCAAUUCAGAGAGCGGCAACCAUUAGAAAAGCAACAUGAUCGUCCAGAUUAACAUGCGACUAAAUAUUUCAGAUACUAUGAGUAACAUGCGACUUAAUAGUUCAGAUACUAAGAGUCGAAGUGAGCAUCAUAACGGUUCAGAAUUACAGUCCACAAUGAAUUUAACACGGCAUUCAAAGUUCAAUUAUACCGACCCCAAAAUACAAACAGAAAGUUCAAUUCUGAAUUCUUGUUCUUCAACUUUUCAGUCUUGCACCAAAAGUAUUGAAUCGAACAGAGACCUUCACUUCGGACUUCCUGUUCAUCCACCUGUUAGUCUUCAUCAAACCAAAAGCUCUUUUGCUCCCAUGCCGCUUAACCUUGCAAUUAAAGGAUUGUGAAUUAUAUAAACAUUACAAGUAGAUGGCAGAAUCAACAACUCAUUGAUGGCAGCCCCAAUUGGAACAACAUAUAAAAUCAUAUGGACAAAAACAAUGUGAAUUAUAUAAAGAUUACAAGUAGAUGGCAAAAAGAACUCAUAGAUGGCAGCCCCAAUUGAAACAACAUAUAAAAUCAGAUGGACUAAAGCAUUGUGAAUUAUACUCCCUCCGUCCGAAAAUACUUGUCAUCAAAAUGGAUAAAAAGAGAUGUAUCUAGAACUAAAAUAUGUCUAGAUACAUUUUGAUGACAAGUAUUUCCGGACGGAGGGAGUAUAAACAUUACAAGUAGAUGGCAGCAACAACUCAUAGAUGGCAGCCCAAUUGAAACAACAUAUAAAAUCAGAUGGACUAAAGCAUUGUGAAUUAUAUAAACAUUACAAGUAAAUGGCAGCAACAACUCAUAGAUGGCAGACCCAAUUGAAACACCAUAUAGAAUCAUAUGGACUAAAGCAUUGUGAAUUAUAUAAACAUCACAAGUAGAUGGCAGAAACGAUAAUUAAUAGAUGGCAGCCCCAAUUGAAACAACAUAUAAAAUCAUAUGGACUAAAGCAAACAUCACAUGUUUAUGACAGAAUAUAAUAAAGCGCAUAAAUGGCAAAUCACUUGUUACCUCAACAUUGUUUCCAACUUGGCUUGGUAAAUCCUUUUCAACUUGCAUUGCCGAAUCUCCUCCAUCAGAUUGACUUGCACCAUCAUCAUGGCUAUCAUCGUCAUCAUCAAUUUCCAGCUCGUCAUUUUCUUCAUCAUUCAUGCUCACUAUCAUUGUAGUCGUCCUCUUCUUCCUCUACCCUCUUCCUUUUCCUGCCAUUGUCCUUCCUUCCAAGAUGAGAGGCUUUCCUACUGAGUAAGGAAUAAAAAAGAAUGAACCAUGACAGUAACAAGAAUUAGCAUAAUCUUUACAACAGAAUAAACAACAUUUCAACUCUAAAUGCACCAUAAUACGACUAAAAAUUGAGUAAGGAAUAAAAAGAAUGAACCAGGACAGUAACAAGAAUUAGCAUAAUUUUUACAACAGAAUAAACAACUUCAUACAUUAAAUGCAUCAUAACAUCAAGUAAAAAUAUAUAAUAAGGCAGAAAAAAGGGAC